GUGAGGUAACGGCUCACCAAGGCAUCGACGGGUAGCUGGUCUGAGAGGACGACCAGCCACACUGGGACUGAGACACAGCCCAGACUCCUACGGGAGGCAGCAGCGGGGAAUAUUGCGCAAUGGGCGAAAGCCUGACGCAGCGACGCCGCGUGGGGGAGGAAGGCCUUAGGGUUGUAAACCCCUGUCAGGUGGGACGAACCCCGGGUCGGUUAAUAAUCGGCUCGACUGACGGUACCACCAGAGGAAGCUCCGGCUAACUCCGUGCCAGCAGCCGCGGUAAUACGGAGGGAGCUAGCGUUGUUCGGAAUUACUGGGCGUAAAGGGCGCGUAGGCGGUCGGGUAAGUCGGGUGUGAAAUUCCGGGGCUCAACCCCGCGAACUGCAUCCGAUACUGCUCGACUUGAGAGAGGUAGGGGCGAGUGGAAUUCCCGGUGUAGCGGUGGAAUGCGUAGAUAUCGGGAAGAACACCGGUGGCGAAGGCGGCUCGCUGGACCUUUUCUGACGCUGAAGCGCGAAAGCGUGGGGAGCAAACAGGAUUAGAUACCCUGGUAGUCCACGCCGUAAACGAUGGGUACUAGGUGUUGGGAGGAUUGACCCUUUCAGUGCCGACGCUAACGCAUUAAGUA
This 625-nucleotide ribosomal RNA is filed under the name uncultured Actinomycetes bacterium. RNAcentral describes it as "bacterial SSU rRNA". It matches the Rfam family "Bacterial small subunit ribosomal RNA", at positions 252 to 866 of the family's 1533-position model. The record is from RNAcentral. Lineage: Bacteria; Bacillati; Actinomycetota; Actinomycetes.